This 373-nucleotide ribosomal RNA is filed under the name uncultured eukaryote. RNAcentral's name for it is "partial 18S ribosomal RNA". It matches the Rfam family "Eukaryotic small subunit ribosomal RNA", at positions 592 to 976 of the family's 1831-position model. The record is from RNAcentral.
CAAUAGCGUAUAUUAAAGUUGUUGCAGUUAAAAAGCUCGUAGUUGAAUUUUUGCUUGCCGCCGAUGUCGGAACUUCCGUACGUUCGGCGGCGUGCAUCCUUGGGUGGAACCUGUGUGGCAUUAGGUUGUCGUGCAGGGGAUGCUCAUCGUUUACUGUGAAAAAAUUAGAGUGUUAAAAGCAGGCUUACGCCGUUGAAUAUAUUAGCAUGGAAUAAUAAGAUAGGACCUUGGUACUAUUUUGUUGGUUUGCGCACCGAGGUAAUGAUUAACAGGGACAGUUGGGGGUAUUCGUAUUCCAUUGUCAGAGGUGAAAUUCUUGGAUUUCUGGAAGACGAACUACUGCGAAAGCAUUUACCAAGGAUGUUUUCAUUAA